CAAGUGAUGCCCAAAACUCCUGUAUAACUCCUUACUUGGAAGCUGAAAGUGCAUGCAUUCAAAAUAUGCAGGAUAUAUCGCAGCUAAAGUAUGGCAGUGCUUCUAAUUUGAGCAAUACAGAUAUUGAAAUGCUUGAAGAUUGUGAUAGAUUGGACAAUGAAUCUGUUGUGCAUGAGAGUGAAACUAAAGAGAAUUCAAGUACAUUUGGGUCAGAU
Long non-coding RNA from Rosa chinensis, 215 nucleotides. RefSeq lists it as uncharacterized. Lineage: Eukaryota; Viridiplantae; Streptophyta; Magnoliopsida; Rosales; Rosaceae. The record is from RefSeq and is a predicted model, not a curated record. The transcript has 3 exons.